AAAGGAAUUGACGGGGGCCCGCACAAGCGGAGGAACAUGUGGUUUAAUUCGAUGAUACGCGAGGAACCUUACCCGGGCUCGAACGGUGCAUGAAUGUCAGAGAGAUUUGACAGUCCUUCGGGACAUGUAUCGAGGUGCUGCAUGGUUGUCGUCAGCUCGUGCCGUGAGGUGUCGGCUUAAGUGCCAUAACGAGCGCAACCCUUGUUGACAGUUACCAUCAGGUAAAGCUGGGGACUCUGUCGAGACUGCCACCGUAAGGUGUGAGGAAGGGGGGGAUGACGUCAAAUCAGCACGGCCCUUAUGUCCGGGGCGACACACGUGUUACAAUGGGAGGUACAGAGGGCAGCUAUCCAGUGAUGGAGUGCAAAUCUCAAAAACCUUUCUCAGUUCGGAUUGGAGUCUGCAACUCGACUCCAUGAAGUUGGAUUCGCUAGUAAUCGCGCAUCAGCCAUGGCGCGGUGAAUACGUUCCCGGGCCUUGUACACACCGCCCGU
This 494-nucleotide ribosomal RNA is filed under the name uncultured bacterium. Its description in RNAcentral is "bacterial SSU rRNA". It matches the Rfam family "Bacterial small subunit ribosomal RNA", at positions 903 to 1397 of the family's 1533-position model. The record is from RNAcentral.